Molecule: long non-coding RNA, 483 nt
Filed under: Homo sapiens (human)
Lineage: Eukaryota; Metazoa; Chordata; Mammalia; Primates; Hominidae
Description: HSALNT0284924
Source: RNAcentral
UACGAGGAUGUUGUGGUCUUGGCAGUUUGGCACAGUUGGAAGGUUUGAGACAAGUUCCUGUUAUUUUGCAAGGUUUCAGAUCAUGUACCUAAUAAGAGCAAGGCAAUUCCAUGAUGCCAUCUGCCGAAUUUGUUGCUGAGAAGCAGUUGCUGUUAGUCGAGCAUUGUCUGACAAAGGAACCCGCUUCUCAGCACAAGUGAAUCAAUAAGCUGAAGCCCAUGGAAUCUGUUACCAUGUACCUCAUCUCUCAGAAGUCACUGCCUCUAGAACGGUAGAAAGUGCUCUGAAACUUCAUUAUGGUACCUCCUGGGAUUCACUGCUUUGAGAAGGCUUCCCAGACCUUCUGCUGCCCCCUCUCAGUGAUCCCCUCUCCAGGACACAAGGGACACAGCCGCCCAGACCCCACUCUGUCACCCCCAUCCUCUGCCAGUCACCUCCUGCUACCCUGCACUGCCCUUUGCCUGUUGGAGACUACCAAGGUGC